Long non-coding RNA from Chelonia mydas (Green sea turtle), 7953 nucleotides. RefSeq lists it as uncharacterized. The transcript has 2 exons. The record is from RefSeq and is a predicted model, not a curated record. NCBI's taxonomy places the organism in Eukaryota, Metazoa, Chordata, Testudines, Cheloniidae.
AGAGUUUCUGCGGCGGCGGCUUCUCUCGCUCCUGUCAUCCGCGGUGACCGUUUUUUUUUUCACUGCUUGGGGCGGCAAAAACCAUAGAGCCGGCCCUGUCUGCUCUGCUCAAGUCUCUCCCCCAGCCCUUGGCUCACUGUAGCUGCCUCUUUGUACGUUGUUGUCUUCUAGGCCGGCGAGCAGAACUGCAUUCUAGGUACGCUCGCAGCAAGGCACUCGAAGCUCCCUGGCUGUAUUUGCGACAUCCUGUCUGCUUCAGUCUAGGAAUAGCACUGGUGUCUCGAGCAGCCUCUGACCGCAGCUUCUUGUUUAGCUUGCUGUGUACGGCCACUUCCAGCUCUGCCCUGGCCUGAUGUCUGUUCCCCUUCCUGGGCAAAGGACGUUUGUAACAGCGAGCGCUUGGACAGACGCUUAAUGCAGCAAGACACUUCUGGCGCCAAAGCAUCCCAGGAGCACAUUCACCCUGAGUGACAUUCUCACCUGCACAGUGCCCUCCCCAGCCUAGCUUUCAUACAGCACAGAAGGAUGAGAGGCUGCAUCUAGGCUGAUGUGUAGCUUCUUGGAGAGAAUAGAGCGCCGAGUGGGAUCAGGCCGGGAACUGGAAGGAUGGAUCUGAAUUGAGUUCCGCUAAGUGGCAGCUUAUUUUCUUCAUGGAUGACAUUAAAUAAUGCAAAGGAAGGAGAUGGAGGGGUGAUGUCUUGCUGGACUCUUUGCCUGCUCAUGAGAUUUAAACACACGGGCUUUCUUUAAACAAACCAGAAGGGCCAUCGUGUUCUUGACUCAGUAAAAUACAGUGACUGUUGGGCAGUCUCCAGUCAGUUACUUUCAAAUACGGAGAGAAAUCUCUAACUUAUCUAGAUUGAGAUGCCUCUUAAAGGGGCCUGGUUUUCAGUCUCUUUUGAAAAUGGAGGCAUCUCCUUUUUAAAACAGUCAUUCUUGUUGGUCCUUGUGUGGUUGCUCACAAAGCCCUGGUAGCUGUCUGCACUGGACAGAUUUAUCCCCUUACAAACCUGGCUGGAUGUUUAGUACAAAUCUUCCUCCCAGUUCAGCUGUGCGGUUUUGUAACAGAUGGAAAAAUAGCUUAAGGAAGGAAUUUGGGGGGGGGGGUCCCUAACACUUGUGCCUUUAUAUUUCACCACAUCCCUGUCUUCUUACACUGAAGGAUUGUAAACCCACAGACUAGAUGUGUAAAUAAUUCAAUUAAGCAUCACUAAACAUGUUUCCUUCAUUCUCUUAGUCUGUUGCAAAUCUAACUUUCUUGCCCACUGGCUUUGGAAUAUUUUGCUGGGAUGCAGCAUGCUAUCAGUGUCGAUCCAGCUCAAGAGACUGGAUAUGAUAUUUCACAUCCUCUUUAAAUAGCCCUAUCCUGGGGAAGUGAGCACUUUGGAGGGUUGGAUGCACACUGUGAUACUAAUGAGGUUAGACACAGCAAGGGCGUACCCCAGCGUUAGAGCGAAAAGGGAGCUGGAGAGCCUUAUAUGCACAGCCUAAGAGGCUUACUUUCUAUGGUAUUUUGUUUGAAAAUGUAUUAAACAGCUCUUAUGUGUGCAUGCUGUAUUAAGUAAAUCAAGUUCUUCGGAAGGAUUAUGAAGAAUCCAGUCAUGGCAGUGAUCUUCAUCCAACGAUUUCUGGCAGAUUUUUAAUUUCCCUUUCUGUGUGGGGAGCGAAUGGUUAGAACGGCUUGAAAGCACACUGGCUUAAGGCCGUUGUUAGUUUUGCAGUAAGGCCAGCGUUAUGUCGUCAGUAAAAUAGAGACACAGAUGUGUUUUGAUGCUGAGUGCGCAUCUGCUUCCAGCAUUCUACAAGCAUGAAUCCCUCAGGGCUGGGAUUCACAAAGGUCUUAAGGUACUGACUCCCACGGAUUUCAAGGGCAGUUAAAUAGCACUGGGAAUCCCCACCAGGUAAAAUAUCUCCCUUUUGCAGCUGGGUAAACUGAGGCACAACAACCAAGCCAUUAAACUUCUCCACCUCUACCCCUGGAAGCCUGUAGGCAACAGAUCAUGUUCAAUCCUGUGUAUGGGCUGAAAAGUUUUAGGCAGGGGCUGGCUAAGGAUUGGGAAAGCUGGGUUCUGUUCUACAACUCUGCUACUUAGUCACAGGAUGAUCUUGGGAAAGUCCCUUUAAUUUCUUUCACACCAAAGAUACUGGGGAGCCCACAGUCUCAGGAAACUGAGGGGCUGAACGGCAGGCCUAUAGCCUGGUGUGCAUACACUCUAGUUCAGAGCAGGGAAGGACAGCUCAGGUGCUGCUGUGUGUUUCUGCUAACCCUGCCACGAGAGAGCAGGGAAUUCAUUACAAAUGAGCAGCAAGGACUCAGGCUGGGUGCAUGGAUGAAACAAAUGUACCAGAUUUGCUGCAUCAUUAAUUCCAUCCUUUCAGCAUUCUUGUCUACAACCUGGAGCAGCUGUGCUGGAGAAUACAGACAGGUGCCAAGGGCAGGAUAACAUUUGCUUGGGUUGUGGCUGAGGAAACUGAAAAAGCAGCAACAUCAUGGAGGAAAAACUGUUGUGGUACAAUUAAUCAGACUCAUAGUGUCUAUCAUUCUCCGGCAGAGCUGCCCACAACCCCAAGGGGAAGGGGUAGACUGGAGCAGAACCAGCUUCUACUAGUUCAUAGUCCCAGGCAGUGGCAUAAGUGUUCCAUCUCAUCCAGGAUCUUGUAACUUGCUAACACCCAGUAACCACAUGCUAGAGAGGAAGGUACAGGACACAGCAGUGGGCAGCUGCUUGUUCAGUGCAGAACUGAAGUGGAAGUGAUUGAGCCUUACUUCAUCCUAGAAGUGCAAUGUCAAAAUUCAUCUCCACCUACUGCUCUCCCUCCUAGCUGAAGCACAAGGGCCAGCAUUAGAAUUAAACUCUAACCAGCUUACCCUCCUUAUUGCUGUCGCUCUCAAACGUGCAGCAGGCACGACUGUGGUGUGUAAUGGUUCUCCUGUCACAGGUAAAAGAACAGCCAGUGGGAGGAGUUGGAGCAGAGCAUGGAGUUGUCAGGAUUGCUAGGUUCCGUUCUUGGCUCUUACCUUGGGUUAGGAUACAGCUCAUUCCAGUCAAGUCAGGGUCCAGUGUGCUAGGAUUGUUCUUGGUUGCUUUUCCCCAUCCAUGCCAGCUGGAUUUCCUUACCCCUAUUCCCAAGAAUACUGCAUCAGGGAGUAGUGAUUAUGAGUAACCCUCUACAUGGCUGUUGCCUUCUCUUCAUUCCCCUUUCCUACAGGACCUUCAUUCAGAAGCUCUUUGCUGGUAAGCAGCAGUCUGUUGGGGGUCCUGUAACAGGCAGAGUUGAUCUGAUUAGGUUGGGACUGCAUGAGGGGUAGCUAAUACCAAAAGGGCAAAGGCCCAGUAUAGAUGCAAGCAUGACAAAAAAAACUAUUCUCCUAGCUCUAGGGAGUGAGUGAGGUCUACCUGAGUCCUCUGAAUAGGGUGUGGUUAGGAAUAAACCAUGUAUACUGAAACUUUAUGCAGCUAGCGUAGACUGACUUGUGUUCAGUGGAUUGGUGCUUUGGGGAUAUUCGGGUAAAAUUUUCCACAGCAGCUAAGUCACUCUUGAAGACUGGAUGUAAACUUCUAAGUCACUUAGCUGCUAUGGAAAAUUUCCCCCCUUGUGUCCAGCGGGACAGUUCUUCAACCUCACUGCAGGAGGCUUUAGCAUGUUCAACAAAGCACAAACAAAUCAAUUAAAAGUGGAGGUUUAUGAGAGCAAAUGCUGCUGGAGCCUAAGUUUAGUGCAGAGUUGUGGAGAACUCUAGUGGUCAUUUCCCUGAACUACAGGUAAAGCUGCAAAUGCAGGACAGCCUGCAAGCGUUCAUCAGUGAAGGCUCUGGAUCCUUCAGAGCACAGGUGGCCAACCUAAGCCUGAGAAGGAGCCAGAAUUUACCAAUGAACAUUGCCAAAGAGCCACAGUAAUACGUCAGCAGCCCCCCAUCCACUACCCACCUCCAGCGCCCAGUGCCUUAGGCUGAGUUACCACAGGGUCUAUACCACGCCGGGGGGGGGGGGGGGGGGGGCGUUGUUGAUGAAAGAAAAUCUCCCGUCGAUUUACCUUACUCUUCUAGUCAGGGGUAGAGUACAGGGGUCAACUGGAGAGCGAUCUGCAGUUGAUUUGGUGGGUCUUUACUAGACCCACUGAACUGACUGCCAGUAGAUCAGUCUCAGAGCAUUGAUUCCCCACUGUAGUGUACACCCGCCCUAAGAGUAGUUCCUGAGCCACUACAGAUUGUCUACAUUUGAAGUGCUGCAGCUCUAAUUAAUCUGCCUUCCUGAGAGGCAGUAGCUAGGUCACCUGAAGAAUUCUUCUGCCAGUUUAAUGCUGUCUACACCAGAGGUUAAGUCAGCUUCAUUAGGUCAGUCGGGAUGUGGAUUUUUCACACCCCUGAGUGACAGUACCUGAGUCAACCUAACUUUAGUGUAGAGCAGGUGUUGGAUUCCUAAAUCACUUUUUGAAAAUGGGACUAAGAGUCACUUAGGCACUCUUGAAAACUUUAUCCCAGUCUUAUUCUGGAGUACCACUGAGGUCACUAAGAAUGCAGAGACUCUGAGGAAGGCUUCAGAGCUGGUGUUCACAGUAAUAGGAUUUUACUUUGAGAUUCUUCACAAUUCAAGCUUGUAGGGUGAAAUAUAUCUUUGCUAGCUAGAAAAGGCCUUGUCUAUACUCAUGAAAGUUGAUCCAGAAUAAGAAUUUAAAUUAGAUCAAGUCCAUGGCUGGAUGCUCCUAUUCUGGAAUAAAAGCAUCUGCCCAUGGAGUUAAUUUGGAAUGGCUACUUCACGACAACCAAGCCAUAACUCUCCGUGCAGACAAACCCUGAGUGAGCAGACUGUGCUGGACAAGGGAAGUUUUUUUUUUUUUUUUAAAAAAAGACAAGAAUGCAGUAGUUUGAAAAAUUAUUGAAAAAUGCAAUACAAGAAACAAUAUUAACACUUAGGUCUGUCUAAACACUAAAGCAACUUUCCCUUUGAAUUACUACAAAAGUCCAAAACAACAGCUUCUGUCAUUUACUAUUCAAUCUAUAAAGAUUUGCCAGUUUUAAGUCUGUUGUGAUAUUUCCUAUUUGUUGUAAAGAAAAGAUGUAAACAGCUAUUCUAGACAAUUCACAAUUGUUUUAAAAAAAAUGUACAAAGCUCCUUCAUAUUUGCAACUAAAUUUUGAUUAAACUUGUAAAAAACCCCACGGUUGGGACACAAACAUCUCUUAAGGUAAUUGUACAUUGUAUGAAAUCAGCAAACUAAAGUUUACUAAAAUCAAAACUCAGUCAGUCCUUUAAUACAGCUGUAUUGCUUGGAGAUUGCAGUCUGGAAACCAAAGCUGCCUUUCCAGGUUAAUUAAUCAGAGGUCUUGCUUCUCCUGCCUUCCUUUCUAUACAUUCAUUCAUAUAUAAAUAGCUUCCGUAAAGUGUAUACUAUACAAUCAAGCCAGUCUCUGGCUUACCUCCUGGACUGGGAAUAGCUGAGAACAUUCAUAUCUUAUCAAUACAGACCUUGUUCACGUUACAUUGACAUGAGCAGCGCUGGUCCCUGGAAAUUCACAGUUCAUGGUGGACCAAAUUUUAAAACUCAAUCUGAUCAACUCAUUGUAGGAGAAAAAGGUGAAAAGUGGGAUGGGGCACAAGCAGUUUUGCAGCCCUGUCUUGCAAAGGUAGAAGUUAAUUUAGUUAGUAGUAGUAGGUAGAGGGAAUCUUACUAAAAGCUAUUUUCUUCCCUGUCCCUCUAUGAAAAGCUCAACUGCUUCAGCAGGAGCAGUCCCAGUGGCAACCCCUAUUCCUCUCCAAGGAAUUCUGGACUAGGAGAACCUUCUGCUUGUAAAAACUUGCUCCUCAGAGGUAUGCUGGGGUUGCCUGGGUGUGGCAGCUAGGAAUCCCUACUGAAAGGUCACCAGUGCCCAAGGGGAAAAGUUUGGCCUGCCUUCAGAAGCCAGUUUGGUUUGCACUGUGUUUUGUCCCACGAAGAGAGCACUGAUGUGUAAUAUCAAAGGGUGAACAGAAGAAACAAGCGCACUUAACGCUAUCUAAAAGUUCUACUAUUCUAUGUCUUGUCCCUUUUUAAGAAGGGUACUACUGCCAAGGCAGAAGCCUGUAACAUGCUAGGAAAUGCUUGUGCACCAUUGUUUGGGAAAGGAAAAACUUCUCACCAACAAGAAACUCUUCUGGAUCUUAGACAAGUCAAAAUUUCUGUUCCUUAGGAGAUGAUUUUUUUUUUUUUAAAGUAAGAUCAAACUUCGUGCUGCCUCUGCUUUAUUGAACAAGGCUGGGUGUGAACUAAGUUACAGCUGUGUCAAGGUCCUUAGUACUUCCUUCACUACUUAAAGUGGCAUAUCUAAACCUUCACAACCACUAUAUGCCUUUAAGUGCUAUGAGCAGAUUAAACAUUUGGUGGCUCUAAAAGUCCCAUGAAGCCAGCUAUGAAGAACUAGGAAACUUUUUAUGAAUAUUGUGCAUACUGCUUGCAAUAGCAUGUUAGAGCAACCAAACAGGAAAGGCAAAACAAUGACCUAGAUAAUGAACAUCCCAGCAAAUGCUCAACCACACCUGCCAGAUUAUUAGUUGUACUCACCAGGAGCCAGCAAAGCUACAGAGAUGUUUUUACCCCUCCCUUUUCAGCCUUAGUAAGACAGUAGCCAGUUGUAGGAUUUGCCCCUAAGAAAGGGAAGGGGAGACAGGUUUGGCAGCAGACUGAAAAGGGCUGUGGAGAUGCAAACUAACCCUCAGAUUCAGGAGCAGGGGCUGGUAUAAACUGGGCCUACCUAAGCUAUGGUUAGAGAGGUUGACUCAUACAUAUAGGCCUCUUAGGGCUUGCCUGCACUUGCACAUUAUACUGCAAUAAAGCCUCCUAGAGCUCUCAACCUUACUCCCUGUCCACACUGGCAAGGCACAUGGAGUGCUCCUGGUACUCCACUUCCACGAGAGGAUUAACAGCUGUUGCGUAUUGGGUGAGACGCUGCAGCUCCAGUGUAAUUGAGGAGUUACGUGACAGGCUUUGAUUGAGUGGCCUCUCUUGUCUUUGUUGUGAACUCUGAAAGGGCCACUUCCGCAUUCCUCCCAAGCUCCGUUUGGGAGUGCCGGCUGCUUAUCUGGUCCGAGAAAAAAAACAAACAGCUAAUGUUUGCUUUGAGUGAGUGAGAGAGGUGGGGGAAGGAGUGGAUCUGAACUUACAAGACAGCAUGCUGACAAGCUCUCAGCACCCCAAAAAUCCACUCUUUCUCCCCCCACAUACACACUCCACCCCCCCAUUUGAAAAGCACACUGCAGCCACUUGAAAGCUGGGAUAGCUGCCCAUAACGCACCACUCCCAAUACAGCUGCAAGUGCUGCAAAUGUGGCCAUGCCAGUGCGCUUUCAGCUCUCAGUGUGGACAGACUGGAGCGCUUUCCCUAGUGUGCUCUCUGAAGCCUGGUUUAACCCAAAGCGUAGACAAGCCCUUACUAACCCUCUGUGCUAUAUACCUUUCGGAUGAACGAGUGAAAUGCUUUGUUUUGACAAAAUUGUGUCACUGCAAGCUUAUUCUGGGAGGAAAUUGCCUUACAGAUGCACAAUCAGGUUGGGCCUGUCAGAUUUUUGUGGCUGGUAAACAGAGGGCCUGGAGCUCCCGUCUAAAGACCAUGUGGUUCCACCCAGAGCAGGAAACCAGGUUUGUCAGCCAAAGGGUGCAACCCUGAGAGACUGAAAGGGGGUCUAAAUUGCAGUUCACCAGCAAACUGCACAUUUAAAUGUCUGCCUAGAGGAGGUAAAGUAGCAUCCCCCAAAACAGCUGCCUUCAUAGGAAGCAAGAUGCUGAUAACUACACCAGUAUUCAAGCAGCUCCAUAAUCCUUUCAAAGACAGUGUCUCCAGCCAAUACUAACAAUUUACUUUAAGGUGGGGUGCAAUUUUAAUUGUGAAGACAGUGCCAUUUAAAGACAAUUUUUCAAUCAAAUAGUAAGUCGUUGAGUCUAGCUCAGUCUUCUACCUCUUUUUAAAAAAACAAAAAACA